Molecule: non-coding RNA, 795 nt
Organism: Danio rerio (zebrafish)
Lineage: Eukaryota; Metazoa; Chordata; Actinopteri; Cypriniformes; Danionidae
Source: Ensembl
CUUACACCCACAACAACCCGGAAGUCUCGUGUCCUUUGAGAGAACACGAUUAUGUGUUUACCGGGACACUAUUUUGAAUUCUGAUCGAGUAUGUCAUUAAUUUUAUGAUGCCUUUCUGAACCGAUAACAAAAAUAAAAUCCACACGUUUCCAUGGUAACGGACGUGGCGUUCUCCAUCGGACAAUCAUGGCGGAUGAUUUGGACGAUUUACUUGAUGAAGUCGAAUCAAAGUUUUGUUGCAACACUUCGGAGUCUAAACAGACAAGCCGUGUUAUGAAACAUACGGAUCAAAAGUGUGACAAUCUCGAAGAAAGGAAACUGCCAAGAAAACAAGGACGUAAAAGAGUUGAAAAUGAGAUAGAUAUUGACGCUAUGCUGCAUGAAAUACUGGAUGAUGAUGUUGAUACACCAACCAGCACACAUGAACCCAGUCCAGCAAAGGCAUCCUCAAGUGCUCAGACAAUCUCCAAGAAAUGUUGCCCUGUGUUUCUUGGUGGAAGCUCUGUUGCACACGGCAUUGGAACCAGCGUUUCCGAAAGGGCCUGCAAUCGAUUAAGAUGUACAUAUUGCGACUUCAGCGUAAUCACCUUUGAUGAUCAUGAAUGGGACUCGUCCUGUGACUAUUUAUUUUUCAGGAACAACAUGCCGGAUUACCACAAGCUGAAGGUGCAUCUGAGGAGGAGAGCGGGUGUUCGUGCGUACGCCUGUCAGUGUAGCUGGAUCUCAAUUCUGACACUCUCACACCUCAGAGAACAACCACAGCUCAAGUGGGUUUGUGGGAAACACAGAGCAUAA